UUCCGGUUGAUCCCGCCGGACCUGACUGCUAUCGGAUUGAUACUAAGCCAUGCGAGUCAUUGUAGCAAUACAAGGCAUACGGCUCAGUAACGCGUAGUCAACCUAACCUAUGGACGGGAAUAACCUCGGGAAACUGAGAAUAAUGCCCGAUAGAACAUUAUGCCUGGAAUGGUUUAUGUUCCAAAUGAUUUAUCGCCGUAGGAUGGGACUGCGGCCUAUCAGUUUGUUGGUGAGGUAAUGGCCCACCAAGACUAUUACAGGUACGGGCUCUGAGAGGAGUAGCCCGGAGAUGGGUACUGAGACACGGACCCAGGCCCUAUGGGGCGCAGCAGGCGAGAAAACUUUGCAAUGUGCGAAAGCACGACAAGGUUAAUCCGAGUGGUUUCUGCUAAAGAAACCUUUUGUCAGUCCUAGAAACACUGAUGAAUAAGGGGUGGGCAAGUUCUGGUGUCAGCCGCCGCGGUAAAACCAGCACCUCAAGUGGUCAGGAUGAUUAUUGGGCCUAAAGCAUCCGUAGCCGGCUCUGUAAGUUUUCGGUUAAAUCUGUACGCUCAACGUACAGGCUGCCGGGAAUACUGCAAAGCUAGGGAGUGGGAGAGGUAGACGGUACUCGGUAGGAAGGGGUAAAAUCCUUUGAUCUAUUGAUGACCACCUGUGGCGAAGGCGGUCUACCAGAACACGUCCGACGGUGAGGGAUGAA
RNAcentral lists this ribosomal RNA (700 nucleotides) under uncultured Nitrososphaerota archaeon. Its description in RNAcentral is "bacterial SSU rRNA". It matches the Rfam family "Archaeal small subunit ribosomal RNA", at positions 1 to 708 of the family's 1478-position model. The record is from RNAcentral. Lineage: Archaea; Thermoproteati; Nitrososphaerota.